Zootermopsis nevadensis is the source of this 734-nucleotide long non-coding RNA. RefSeq lists it as uncharacterized. NCBI's taxonomy places the organism in Eukaryota, Metazoa, Arthropoda, Insecta, Blattodea, Termopsidae. The record is from RefSeq and is a predicted model, not a curated record.
CCUACCUACAUUAUUCUAUCCUAUACAAAAAUGUCAUCAUAAGCUGUCAACUAGAAAAAAAUGUAAAUGGUAGUCCACAAUCAAAAACAUAACCGCCACACAUGGCAGUUGCCUUGGACACAGCUGAUAAGGCCAAUCAAUCACUAUCAAGAAAUAACCUUAAAUAAAAAUGGAUGGGUGCUGCUUGUCUUCUUGACAAAUUAUGGACCCCUGUUACACACAGUUUAGAGUUGCAGGACAUGCCUUUAGUCAUCUCUGAAAAAGAAUCCUGUUAGAAUCUGCCAACACCAUGAAACGUCUGCUACAAAGAAGAAACUGGAUUAUGAUACUGCAGGUACAAACACCCUGAACACUUGAUGCAUCCCCCGACAGACGAGCGCAGAGAGAACCAGAGCUGUUGGACUUAUUAUCAAACCACGCAACCUCCUGCCGCACCAUUGCUUCAAACAACUGCCCACGAAGUCGCAUUGUCAGCUUCUCACCAGCUAUUCCAUAUGUGUAAAUCUGAAAUAAUGUACAAUUAUUAGCAUUAAAUAUUAGUCUACUACAAUACAAUGAUUUUCUUUAGUUGUAAGUUCUGAGGAGAAUCAUUUUGUAUUCAUGUAAAUACAUGUUAUAAUGUAAUAAUAUAAUGUUACAAUGUACCAGAAUGGACCUUGUAAACUAUAAUACUACCAUGAAAUUAAACACUAUUAUACAGUAAUAAACACUGAUUGAUUCACUGUUAAACUUAA